GUGGGGAAUAUUGGACAAUGGGCGAAAGCCUGAUCCAGCCAUGCCGCGUGUGUGAAGAAGGUCUUCGGAUUGUAAAGCACUUUAAGUUGGGAGGAAGGGCAGUAAGUUAAUACCUUGCUGUUUUGACGUUACCGACAGAAUAAGCACCGGCUAACUUCGUGCCAGCAGCCGCGGUAAUACGAAGGGUGCAAGCGUUAAUCGGAAUUACUGGGCGUAAAGCGCGCGUAGGUGGUUUUGUAAGUUGGAGGUGAAAUCCCCGGGCUCAACCUGGGAACUGCCUCAAAAACUGCAAGACUAGAGUACGGUAGAGGGUAGUGGAAUUUCCUGUGUAGCGGUGAAAUGCGUAGAUAUAGGAAGGAACACCAGUGGCGAAGGCGACUACCUGGACUGAUACUGACACUGAGGUGCGAAAGCGUGGGGAGCAAACAGGAUUAGAAACCCCGGUAGUCC
RNAcentral lists this ribosomal RNA (450 nucleotides) under uncultured bacterium. Its description in RNAcentral is "partial 16S ribosomal RNA". It matches the Rfam family "Bacterial small subunit ribosomal RNA", at positions 354 to 796 of the family's 1533-position model. The record is from RNAcentral.